AUUGAACGCUGGCGGCAUGCUUUACACAUGCAAGUCGAACGGUAACAGGCCGCAAGGUGCUGACGAGUGGCGAACGGGUGAGUAAUGCAUCGGAACGUGCCCAGUCGUUGGGGAUAACUACUCGAAAGAGUAGCUAAUACCUCAUACGAUCUAUGUAUGAAAGCGGGGGUCCGUAAGGCUUCGCGCGAUUGGAGCGGACGAUGUCAGAUUAGGUAGUUGGUGGGGUAAAGGCUCACCAAGCCGACGAUCUGUAGCGGGUAUGAGAGGACGGCCAGCCACACGGGGAGUGAGACAGGGCCGAGACACCUAGGGGGGGAAGCAGUGGGGAAUUUUGGAGGAUGGGGGCAAGCCGGAUCCAGCAAUGCGGCGUGCAGGAAGAAGGACUUCGGGUGGGAAAGUGCUUUUGUACGGAGCGAAGCGGAUCUGGUUAAUACGCGAGGCUAAUGACGGUACCGUAAGAAUAAGCACCGGCUAACUACGUG
This 482-nucleotide ribosomal RNA is filed under the name uncultured bacterium. RNAcentral's name for it is "partial 16S ribosomal RNA". It matches the Rfam family "Bacterial small subunit ribosomal RNA", at positions 29 to 507 of the family's 1533-position model. The record is from RNAcentral.